RNAcentral lists this ribosomal RNA (505 nucleotides) under Cervidellus vexilliger. RNAcentral's name for it is "SSU rRNA". It matches the Rfam family "Eukaryotic small subunit ribosomal RNA", at positions 88 to 590 of the family's 1831-position model. The record is from RNAcentral. Lineage: Eukaryota; Metazoa; Nematoda; Chromadorea; Rhabditida; Cephalobidae.
CGCGAAUGGCUCAUUAUAACAGCUAUAAUUUACUUGAUCUUGACACAAUCCUACUUGGAUAACUGUGGUAAUUCUAGAGCUAAUACAUGCAUUAAAGCUCUGACCUCACGGGAAGAGUGCAUUUAUUAGAACAAAACCAAGCGGCUUCGGCUGUUUCUGGUUGACUCAUAGUAACUGAGCUGAUCGCACGGUCUUGCACCGGCGACGUGUCUUUCAAGUAUCUGCCGUAUCAACUUUCGAUGGUAGUGUAUCUGACUACCAUGGUGAUCACGCGUAACGGAGAAUAAGGGUUCGGCUCCGGAGAGUUCGCCUGAGAAAUCGCGAACACAUCUAAGGAAGGCAGCAGGCGCGAAAAUUACCCACUCUCAGCACGAGGAGGUAGUGACGAAAAAUAACGAGACCGUUCUCUUAUGAGGCCGGUCAUCGGAAUGGGUACAAUUUAAACCCUUUAACGAGUACCUAUGAGAGGGCAAGUCUGGUGCCAGCAGCCGCGGUAAUUCCAGCU